AAUGUGAUAGGCACUGAGAUAGUGCUGACUUGCACCUGUAGCAGAAUAAGUAAAAAAGACUUUCAUACCAAAAGUUUUUUGUUAGAGAUAUGGUUGACUAUAAAAUAGAAGAACCGAGAGUUUUAGAAGGGCAUGCUGAUUGUUGUGAUUCACGACCGAGAUGAGAUCGUGAAUGGAGCUUGGGAUGAUAUCGCCAUAUCUUAGCUUGAUUUUUUGCUUGUACCUACUUUAUUUCUGCUUGUAUCUGCCCUAUUUCUAUCAAUAAAGGAGUUACGUAAACAGAUUCAUAACAAACUGGUGUGGUUAGUCAGUACUAUCUAUCUUUUUAGUAUAUUUCUAUCCGUUUUAUUAUCUUGGUGUAUUUAAACAUACGGGAAUGUUAAUCUUUAUACUAAGUAAUUAAUGUCUCAAGAAGUUGCUUGACCUUUAUUUUGCAUUUGAACACAAUUUAGCUUUCUUUCUAGUCUACUCUUCACAAUGUUUCAUAGCUCAUCUUGUUUCACUACAUUAAAUUUGGUUGUAUAUGAACCUAUUUACAAUAUGAGGUCUAAGGUGUUUAUGUAGUCCCUGAAGUAAUUAAUCUUUUAUAGUUAGUGGGAAUAUUUAAAUAUAUAAAUAAAAACAAACAAAAGAUUGAGUCACGCAAACAAAAACAGAAAUGGGGAAAUUGCUCUGAGAUGGAUUUGCAACUGUUGGGUCGAACUCCACGAUCAAGUACACAAACUUGCACACUAAAUCGUAGUUAAUACACGUCGUGCAGGACACUUCCAUGCCAGGCUUGUGACAGUCUGCACCAGGUUUCAUAGCGUCCAUUGAGCGGAGAUAUAUUUGGUAACUGUGCUCAUGUCAAAUGCAACACCAUAUGAAACAUACUCUAGAUUUGGAAGAAUGAAGAGACAGUCUUGAGCUCAUGAUUCUCUGGAAAGGAUACGUUACCAGGUAGAAUCAAUAUGAUCGCCUCCAGACCUUUUUGCAGAAUUGAGAAAAAAUCAGUUCUUUUAAUCAGAAUUUCAAACCGGUUAGAAGUAAAAUAUGAUUCAGGGAGUUUUGUUUGUGUUUUCUUUUACCUGCAGUUUUUGCAGCAGUAGCUUCUUGAUAAACAUCUGUCACAAAAAUAAUCUCUGAAAGAUCAUCCACUCCCAAUGUUUCUGUAAUCUCCUUGUAACUCUUGCUUUCUUUCUUGUUUCUGCAGCCAAGACACGUAAGAUAGGUCAUGUGCAAGCAGCUGAUGGAAAUGAUAGGUCAUUUAUAUACCACUUGAAUAUAUGGUUUGUGUUCCCAAAGAGAAGCCUUUGGGCUAAUCGACUACCACUUGAAUAUAUGUAAACUACUCACAAUCAACACAUUAGACAUACAACCAUAAAAAGCACCAUUUCUCUAAUAACUUUACUACACGAACAUACCUUUAUUCCAGAAGAAUGCCAUUUCUCCAAAGCCUCUGGUACAUCCUCGAAAACAACAGAUUUCAGUUCAUGACAUUCGAAACCUGUUCUCCAUAUGUGACCCUGCAAUACAAAUAUUGACAUAAUUAUAUCUUACAUUAUCAAAAACAAUAAAACAAAACAGAAAGAGGGAAGCUUGUUUUGUUCUCUCACUUGUAAUUCCUUUAAAGCAGUGAUCUUUCCAUCUGCAGAGUUGAAGAUUUUAGAGCAUCGGCCUUUUAAAAAAUAAAAAAAAUUAAGAUCUAGUAUAAGAUGCUUGUCGAUACAAUACCUUCUCAUUGAAGAGAGGUAGAGUGAUUCCCAUGAAUUCACCAUGCUUCUUGAUGUUUUUCGAGUCCCAAUAACAGAGAAGCCGAGCAACAACGAAGUGGAAAGAUCUACUGAGUCGGAGGGCGUCGAAGGUUGAUUGCCCAAUAACAACAUCGGAAGAAGAUAUUUACGAAGAAUCUUGCAACAUGAAGAUUAACUGAGAGUUGUUGUGAUGAUUCAUCAAACUCUCAACUCUCUCCAAUUUAUAGCUUCAAGUGAAGGAAACGGAGAGGUCGUCAUCGUGAUUGGGUUAAAUGAGAAUAACAUUUAUUGGCGAAAUUAAGAGGAAUACGUUGAACGAAAUGGGAGGUUAAGAGUUAAAGGAAGAAAUCAUAGUGUUUGCAGGCAAAAGUAAGCUGAGACUGCAAGGUUGAAGACGGGAAGAGAAUGAUAACAAUCAAAACCUAAUCUAGUCAACACACAAAACGCAGAGUUUUGUUUAUUAACCAAACUUUUUAAUAUAACCAAACUGCCAAAAUAAUUGAACGAACGCUUGCGUAAACUUAAUUAUCAAACCAAACUGAAAGUAUGUGGGCCCCACAAAUUUUAAAAACCGUCAUGUGGACACACUUUCACAGGAGAUAAAACUUUGAUUGGGCUGCCAGAUGGAUUAAAUGGGUGCGAAGAGGACUUAAUUUUUUUAUUCCAAGCCCAUUUCGGGAUGACCUGUCAAAUUGAUUGGUUCUGAUUAUUUGUGUCUAUGUGGCAGGGCUUAGGAAGCUAAAAUUUAGUUCCUUUUAUAUAGUAGGAUUGACAAAAAAAAAAGUUUUGUCCUUGAUUUUUUUUACUAAAUUGUAAAUAUUAUUCGAAUUAUAACAUAGCUGAACUCGAAUCUGCUGCAGUUCGUUUCAUGGAGGUUGCAAAAAGUUUUAACUUUUUUUUAGGAAACACAAAAAUUAGAACCAAAACAAAAACUAUACAGAAGUUCUUAUAUAUAAAACAAAUCCAAAAUUGUUUUGUCUGCUUGCAUUAUCAUGUACGUCAAUAUGAUUUGUUAAAUUUGCAGUAAUUGAAUAGAAGCUCAAAUUGUAUGUAAAAAGAACUUGAUUCAUUAUGUGAUCAAAUUGUUUGUACACCAAAGUUCUAGUUCAAUCGAAAUGUUAUGUUGUAGAUAUGGAGUUUUCAACACAUAAAUAAGAUGUGUGGCAAGCAACUUUUUGUUGUUGGCAAGCAACACUACCACAUGGAAUUCAUGGGAGAUGAGUUUUCUAUGUUGUCUAUUAUAGUAUGUAUGGUGAUUAGAUAUUGGUACAUUUAAACCGGAUAUAAAUUGAUUUAUAAUAGUUGGUUUAGUCGGCUUUGUACAUUUCAGAUUAAUUAAUGAAAAAUGAAAUACUUUACUCAUAGGGUAUCAGAGCCAAAACUUUAGAUCAUGGACAAAUGUUUUGAACUAGAGUAGCCUGAUUUCUCCAUAUUAUUCUUUUUGUUUGUCAAGACCCACACAACGUUUUACCGAAUAUAGAAGCAGUGGAUAUCUUUUUAAUAACCACAAAAUAUUCCAAGAAAAUAUUUAUGAGGAGAAUCUCACAUUCCAGAGAAUUACGUCGAUGGUUGAGAACAAUUACCGAUAUCAUAGAAUUUUGAAAAACAGAUUAGUGGAACUAGAACGGCUCCAACUAUUUCAACUCAGUUUGGUUGCAAAGGAGAAUCUUACGUUAACUCUGAUUCACAUAGCAAAGGUACGAUCCUAGUCCAUCAAUCUGUAUUUGAUUUUUGAUUCAAAUUUCCAACUAUUUCAACUCAGCUUGCUUGAAUACUCGCAUAAGGAUCCUCUUUGUGAAGAACCUCGGUAGCUCAACCACUAGGAGUGGCUUAGAGCCAAGAAGUGUGUAUGUGAUCUAUUUAGAAAAAACAAGGUUACAGAGGAUAUGUUGGGGAAGCUAUUUUCUCCAUAUGAGAUAGUGGCUAGUAUUGGUAUGCAAAGAUCCCAAGGUUUUGCUUUUGUGCACUUUUUUCAUCCAGAUGGUGCCAAGAGAGCUGCAGAGUCUGAACAUGGUAAGUUGGUAACACCUCGUUUAAACUUUAGUACAUUGUCAUUAAGAACAUAGUCACUGAUUUAUUGCUUUCACUAUUAGGACCAAGAGAAUAUUUGUGAAGAGAAUCUCACAUUCCUGAGAGUCGCGUCGAUGGUUGAGAACGGCUACCGAUAUCAGAAAAUUUCGAAAAACAAAUUAGUGGUACAUGCUGGAUCAAGUGGGAGAGGGAGAACUAGAAUUGUAAUAGUUAGACUUUGAUGAUUCUGUUCAAAACGAGCUUGUAACUGAAUCUGAUUUCCGAUUUAUCGAAUGAAUUAAUAUAUAAUAUUUUUUAAAAAAAAUAUUCCAAGAGCUUGAAUUUUUUUAUAUCAUGAACACAUUCACAGCGAGAAGGCAUAAUCGAAAGUUCAAUGAUCCGAUGCUUCUUGGAUUCAAUGAGAAUUAAGUCCAAGAUCUCCUCAUAACUAUUUGACACCUUUAAUUUUUCUGUGGCAAUGUCUCUGUAAUAGAUUUUCUACUAUGUAGUAACUUCAACUUUCAACAAAAAUGUUUAUCAAUAAGUCUAAGAACAUAUAAACAAAAAAAAUCAUGUAUAGAUUAAUAUUUAGUUUGAACAAAUAACAGUGCAGUAACCACUACAAGGCUCAGUAUGGGGCCUGUGAGGACAAUCCUUCGGUCGAUAUUUUGCGAACAUCUGAUAGAAAUAACAGAAUAGUUUUGGACCAUAUCUCUAUCUGGACGGUAUUUUUUGUUUUUAUGUCAAGAUUCGGAAAAUCAAAGGAAAGUAUAUAACUCUUGAACCACAAAAUUGGUAUGUGGUCCAGUACUUUUUUUUGGCAAUCUCUACCAUAAUCGCUCCAUGCAGGAUUCUUCAGAUUAUCAUCAUCCGUCUGUGAAUAAACGCCAAACACAUGACUAAUAAAAUCUAUAAGAAAAUCAUUAUUCUCAGUUGUUACAAUCAGGAACAAAUGCUAGUAUACUUGGGGUUGAAAAAAUCUCAAUUAGACCCAUCUCUUUUCCUUUUCAUUUUACAUUUAAAUUUAAACAGAAAUCUAAGUAAAAUAACUGAAAAACCUAAGGACUUAAACAUAUUUACUAACCCAUGCCAUUACUAUUUGACCCAGAAUCCAAACCACCCGAAACCCAACCCAACUAACCUAAAUUAUUUUCUUCUUCUUCUUCUUCUUCUCAUUUCUUCUUCAUCAAUAUAGUUCUUACUCUUUAAAAUAAAAUCAAAAAAAUUCUUCAACUAUCCGCUAAUUUUCUAUUUCUUAUCCUAAAUCGAUCAACCCAUAGUCAUAUUUAAUCAAUUAUAACUUACCCAUAAUCAAAUUUCAUCUUUUAAAUACUAGAUUCAAGAUAAAGAAGAACGCAGAGUAUUACUAAUACAACUAGUACAACUCAAAUUAGUACAACUAGUACAACUAAAAAAAGUAUAACUAAUACAACUAAAAUAAGUAUAACUAGUACAAAUAGAUUUGAUAUAACUAAUAUAACUGGUACAAGUACAACUUGUAUAACUAAUAUAACUUUACAAUUAAUAUGAUGAUAUUUGGUUUUUGUUUUCAGCGUAUUAAUGAUGCUAUAGAAGAUGAUGAUGCAGAACCAAUAAAGAUGUUGUUGUACUAUUUAAGAAAAAAAUGCAUCUUCAUUCUUUUUGUUCUCGUAGCCAAAGAAUGCAGGUGCAAAGCCUAGAUUUGGGCAUUCAGGUACCCAUUUGGAUCAGAUUUAGUUCUGGUUCUUUAGAUACCAAAUUUUUUGAGUACAUACUAAUUGGGAUAUUUGAUUGUGGCGAGCGUUUGAGGAUGGCGGUUCUUUACUUUUUGGCCAGAGUUAUAAGAGGAUGGUCAAAAGGAGGAUACUUCAUUGAGCAUUUCAUUGCACAUAGAGUUGUAUUAGUUUUUAGUUAUACUGGUUUGUACAAAGUUGUACUAGUUUUUUAGUUAUACUAGUUUGCACAAAGUUGUACUAGUUUUUUAGUUAUACUGGUUUGUACGGAGUUGUACUUUGGCAGCGAAAUCUGAAAAUAUUAGUUGUACCAAAGAAAAAAUACCAUUACUUUAGUUGUACCACUUAUUUAUGUUUACAUGUCUUUGCCCGGAUACAAUAGAAUCAAUGACUAUUGUUAAAAUACUUGUCAUGUAUGUUUUGUAAAAAAUAUGUGGACAAACAAGUUAACAAACCUUAAAAGUAGAAGGUAGAUCAAACAAACUUAUGUGAUGGAGUUAGAAAUCCAAAAAAACAAAAAAAAAACAAUACAACACAAAAAGAAACUUAU
This is a long non-coding RNA of Brassica rapa (field mustard), 6005 nucleotides long. RefSeq lists it as uncharacterized. NCBI's taxonomy places the organism in Eukaryota, Viridiplantae, Streptophyta, Magnoliopsida, Brassicales, Brassicaceae. The record is from RefSeq and is a predicted model, not a curated record.